RNAcentral lists this ribosomal RNA (271 nucleotides) under uncultured Clostridiaceae bacterium. RNAcentral describes it as "partial 16S ribosomal RNA". It matches the Rfam family "Bacterial small subunit ribosomal RNA", at positions 532 to 802 of the family's 1533-position model. The record is from RNAcentral. Lineage: Bacteria; Bacillati; Bacillota; Clostridia; Eubacteriales; Clostridiaceae.
GGGCAAGCGUUAUCCGGAUUUACUGGGUGUAAAGGGAGCGCAGACGGCCAAGCAAGUCUGAAGUGAAAUGCAUGGGCUCAACCCAUGAAUUGCUUUGGAAACUGUUAGGCUUGAGUGUCGGAGAGGUAAGCGGAAUUCCUAGUGUAGCGGUGAAAUGCGUAGAUAUUAGGAGGAACACCGGAGGCGAAGGCGGCUUACUGGACGACAACUGACGUUGAGGCUCGAAGGCGUGGGGAGCAAACAGGAUUAGAUACCCUGGUAGUCAAGGGCG